UUUUCUGGCUGAGUCAUAUUCCAUGAGACAAUCAAGCUUUCGAUGAUCAUGUGAUGAGGUUUCCAGUCAGUUCCAGGUGAAGACACCACUGGCCAUCAAGAAGCUACCCUCUCCCCACCAGACAGAGCAGGAUGAGAGUUCUAUAAUCCUCAAUAGGUAGGGACGGUGCUCCAAGUCAGCAUGAAGCAGUUACAGAAGAAAGACCCUCAGUCCCCCUGCCUCCCAUAAAGAUUUAUGGGGAUCACAUCUCUCAGAGGGGAAAUGCACAGGAGAACUGGGCCUGGAGGCAGAGAACCUAACCCCACCUCUCCACACCCAAGUAGUAAAGGGAUCAGAGGCUAUUUUCUUUGUAACUCCCCCCAUCUUUUCUGCAUUGCAGAUGAAAAAUGAAAGUACCUCUGAUUGACCAAGUCUUCAUGUAUAACUUUGUAACUUUACUUCAGACUCUGAUUGGUCACCUUCCACAACCAAUCAGACUGGUU
This 482-nucleotide long non-coding RNA is filed under the name Pan troglodytes (chimpanzee). Its description in RNAcentral is "long non-coding RNA NONPTRT007163". The record is from RNAcentral. Lineage: Eukaryota; Metazoa; Chordata; Mammalia; Primates; Hominidae.